AUUGAACGCUGGCGGCAGGCCUAACACAUGCAAGUCGAGCGAGCGGCGGACGGGUGAUUAAUGUCUGGGAAACUGCCUGAUGGAGGGGGAUAACGUCCGGAAACGGGCGCUAAUACCGCAUACUAUCAGAUGAGCCUAGGUCGGAUUAGCUAGUUGGUGGGGUAAAGGCCUACCAAGGCGACGAUCCCUAGCUGGUCUGAGAGGAUGACCAGCCACACUGGAACUGAGACACGGUCCAGACUCCUACGGGAGGCAGCAGUGGGGAAUAUUGCACAAUGGGCGCAAGCCUGAUGCAGCCAUGCCGCGUGUGUGAAGAAGGCCUUCGGGUUGUAAAGCACUUUCAGCGGGGAGGCGUUACCCGCAGAAGAAGCACCGGCUAACUCCGUGCCAGCCGCCGCGGUAAUUC
This 406-nucleotide ribosomal RNA is filed under the name uncultured bacterium. RNAcentral's name for it is "partial 16S ribosomal RNA". It matches the Rfam family "Bacterial small subunit ribosomal RNA", at positions 30 to 526 of the family's 1533-position model. The record is from RNAcentral.